UAUAGUGUUAUCUCUGGUGGUGUCCCACUC
This 30-nucleotide non-coding RNA is filed under the name Mus musculus (house mouse). Lineage: Eukaryota; Metazoa; Chordata; Mammalia; Rodentia; Muridae. The record is from RNAcentral.